GACGAACGCUGGCGGCGCGCUUAACACAUGCAAGUCGAACGGAAAGGCCUGCUUUCCCUUGUGGAUUGCGGGUACUCGAGUGGCGAACGGGUGAGUAACACGUGAGUGAUCUGCCCCCAACUUGGGUAUAAGCCUGGGAAACUGGGUCUAAUUCCCGAUAGGACUGCAGGGUGGUGCCUGUGGUGGAAAACGAUUUUCUAGUGGUUGGGGAUGAGCUCGCGGCCUAUCAGCUUGUUGGUGGGGUAAUGGCCUACCAAGGCGGCGACGGGUAGCCGGCCUGAGAGGGUGGACGGGCACAGUGGGACUGAGAUACGGCCCAGACGCCUACGGGAGGCAGCAGUGGGGAAUAUUGCACAAUGGGCGGAAGCCUGAUGCAGCGACGCCGCGUGGGGGAUGACGGCCUUCGGGUUGUAAACUCCUUUCGACCGCGAGGAAGCCACCUGGUUGGAAGGGUGGUGACGGUAGUGGUAGAAGAAGCACCGGCUAACUACGUG
Molecule: ribosomal RNA, 494 nt
Filed under: uncultured bacterium
Lineage: Bacteria
Description: partial 16S ribosomal RNA
Rfam family: Bacterial small subunit ribosomal RNA
Source: RNAcentral